Molecule: ribosomal RNA, 408 nt
Filed under: uncultured rumen bacterium
Lineage: Bacteria
Description: bacterial SSU rRNA
Rfam family: Bacterial small subunit ribosomal RNA
Source: RNAcentral
GUGGGGGAUAUUGCACAAUGGGCGAAAGCCUGAUGCAGCAACGCCGCGUGAGGGAAGACGGUUUUCGGAUUGUAAACCUCUGUCUUUGGUGAAGAAGGAAGUGACGGUAGCCAAGGAGGAAGCCACGGCUAACUACGUGCCAGCAGCCGCGGUAAUACGUAGGUGGCAAGCGUUGUCCGGAAUUACUGGGUGUAAAGGGAGCGCAGGCGGGACGGCAAGUUGGAUGUGAAAUACCGCAGCUCAACUGCGGAGCUGCAUCCAAAACUGUCGUUCUUGAGUGGAGUAGAGGUAGGCGGAAUUCCGAGUGUAGCGGUGAAAUGCGUAGAUAUUCGGAGGAACACCAGUGGCGAAGGCGGCCUACUGGGCUCUUACUGACGCUGAGGCUCGAAAGUGUGGGGAGCAAACAGG